Molecule: ribosomal RNA, 450 nt
Filed under: uncultured bacterium
Lineage: Bacteria
Description: partial 16S ribosomal RNA
Rfam family: Bacterial small subunit ribosomal RNA
Source: RNAcentral
AGCGAACGCUGGCGGCAUGCCUAACACAUGCAAGUCGCACGGGGGGGCUUCGGCCUCCCAGUGGCGGACGGGUGAGGACCGCGUAGGGACCUGUCGAGGGGUGGGGGAUAACCGCGGGAAACUGCGGCUAAUACCGCAUGACGCCGCGGCGUGACAGCCGGGGCCAAAGGCGAAAGCCGCCCGCCGAGGGGCCUGCGUCCGAUUAGCUGGUUGGCGGGGUAGCGGCCCACCAAGGCGUCGAUCGGUAGCUGGUCUGGGAGGGUGAUCAGCCACACCGGGACUGAGACACGGGCCGGACUCCUACGGGAGGAAGCAGUGGAGAAUAUGAGACAAUGGCCGCAAGCCUGAUCCAGCAAUGCCGCGUGGGUGAAGAAGGUCUUCGGAUUGUAAAGCCCUUUCGGCGGGGACGAUGGUGACGGUACCCGCAGAAGAAGCCCCGGCUAACUUCGU